CGCAGCCGCGGUAAUUCCAGCUCCAAUAGCGUAUAUUAAAGUUGUUGCGGUUAAAAAGCUCGUAGUUGAAUUUCGGGGUCAGUAGGUUGGUCAUGCCACUGGUAUGUACUGGCCUCACUGAUUCCUCCUUCCUGAUGAGCCGUAAUGCCAUUAAUUUGGUGUUGCGAGGAAUCUGGACUGUUACUUUGAAAAAUUAGAGUGUUUAAAGCAGGCUAACGCUUGAAUACAUUAGCAUGGAAUAAUGAAAUAGGACGUUCGAUCUUAUUUUGUUGGUUUCUAAGAUUGACGUAAUGAUUAAUAGGGAUAGUUGGGGGCAUUAGUAUUCAAUUGUCGGAGGUGAAAUUCUUGGAUUUAUUGAAGACUAACUACUGCGAAAGCAUUUGCCAAGGAUGUUUUCAUUAAUCAAGAACGAAAGUUAGGGGAUCGAAGACGAUCAGAUACCGUCGUAGUCUUAACCAUAAACUAUGCCGACUAGGGAUCGGAUGAUGUUAAUUUUUAAUGACUCAUUCGGCGCCUUAAC
RNAcentral lists this ribosomal RNA (520 nucleotides) under uncultured Rhizophagus. RNAcentral describes it as "SSU rRNA". It matches the Rfam family "Eukaryotic small subunit ribosomal RNA", at positions 569 to 1092 of the family's 1831-position model. The record is from RNAcentral. Lineage: Eukaryota; Fungi; Glomeromycota; Glomeromycetes; Glomerales; Glomeraceae.